This is a long non-coding RNA of Cebus imitator (Panamanian white-faced capuchin), 1236 nucleotides long. RefSeq lists it as uncharacterized. The transcript has 2 exons. NCBI's taxonomy places the organism in Eukaryota, Metazoa, Chordata, Mammalia, Primates, Cebidae. The record is from RefSeq and is a predicted model, not a curated record.
GGUUACUGUGAGCUGUGAUUGCACCACUGUACUCCAGUCUGGGCAACAGAGCAGAAGCCUGUCACCAAAAAGCAAACCCCCCCAUAUAUUUGUACCCAUUAAUCAAAGUGUUUUUAUCUCCCUUCACAGCCUCUGGUAGCCACCGUUCUACUCUCUUUCUCCAUGAGGUCCAGGUUUGAAGCUCCCACAUGUGAGUGAGAACAUGCAAUAUUUUUCUUCUGUGCCUGGCUUAUUUCACUUAAUAUAAUGACCUCCAGUUCCACCCGUCAACGGAGGAUUUAUUUUAGGAAACUUGCAAUGGUGAGUUCUUUCUCUACCUCUUUGAGAUGCAAAUCUUGUCUCAAAUCUUCUUCUAGCCUCUUGCUAGUUUUACAACCCAGGAAUGUCUUUCUCAAGACCUCAGAGCCAUCCCUUUAAAAUGUAGUAAUUGAAGAUGAUACAUCUGUCAGUCUUUGUAGAAGGGCAGGUUUCCAGUUUUGAAAAAUUCCAAUGAGCGAACACAGAUCGCUUUACCGCAUUUCCUAACCUCUUCCUGAUGUCUCCAGUUCCUUCUCGGCAUCUCACCCCAGCACUUAAACUCUCCAGCCUUUUGUUUAACAAGGCUAAGCUCCUUCUCUCUUCGGUAUGGCAAUAGUCCUGACUCAAGCCUGCCUUGCACGUUUAACUUGUCUGGUGCAUUUUUUUCUUUGACAAUGUCCAGAUCAAACGGCCCCACAAAAACAUCGAGUGUGAUUUUAGCCUGAGAAGUGGGAGGGUGAGAAGACAGAUUUGGAGCCAGCUGUGUGGGCAAGGGACUCAGCCACGCUCUAAACCUCUCCCAGUCUCAUCCGUAAAUGCAGUGCACAGGCAGCAGCGCUUCUCCCCCGAGGCUGGGGCGAUGGAAUAAGUUUGACUAUUGAGGGCACGGUCGCCAGUGGGUUUCCUUUGGUUGACUGCUGACAAUGUGUUUGUAGAAUGGCAGCCCACACUAGGCGAUGUUGAAGCCACAGAAGACACGGCAGUGGGAAAAGCAGCAGGAGCUUCUGCCCUGAGGAGCCUCCAAGCCCAGGCAGAGGGCCAGCCGCACAGGGUCUCCUGAGAACACAUACCAGAACUACUGAGGUAAUCUUCGUACAUUUUCUUAACCAUUUGAUGUGACUUUCAAAUUCCUUAUAUAUAGCUGGGAAAAACGGCUUUACUAGAUGAUCUGUUUGAACAUUCCUGAGGAUAAAGAUUGAAAAAAAAAAAAAGUUUAAA